GCAAGUCACUGACGAGUGGAUAGACAUCCAAGUGACUUCUUGUCUUGGUCACGCUCAGUACCCUUGUUCUCUAACAAGCACCUGUACUAUCACUUCAGUGUCCCUACACUGUGGACUCAAGUCUCGUCCAUCCAGAAGGAAAGUGAUCUGUACACUGAUCGGAUCGAUCACCGUCCUCGUGAUGAUCCAUUGAUCAGGAGCAUUUAGAAAUUAAUCACCAAUGAUACA
Molecule: long non-coding RNA, 228 nt
Filed under: Phoenix dactylifera (date palm)
Lineage: Eukaryota; Viridiplantae; Streptophyta; Magnoliopsida; Arecales; Arecaceae
Description: long non-coding RNA (PDAC_LNC020527)
Source: RNAcentral